This is a long non-coding RNA of Ricinus communis (castor bean), 1044 nucleotides long. RefSeq lists it as uncharacterized. The record is from RefSeq and is a predicted model, not a curated record. NCBI's taxonomy places the organism in Eukaryota, Viridiplantae, Streptophyta, Magnoliopsida, Malpighiales, Euphorbiaceae. The transcript has 3 exons.
AUAUACAUUUUUCCAUCUUUUAAAAUAAAAUUACAUUCAAGCCCCCAUGCCCUUUUCCUUCUUCGUCCCCGAUGUCACCCCCUUCCUCCUCCUCCCUACCUCCAUUUCCGCCGCUUGCAUCUCCAACAAGCCACCGAAAAUUUCUUUCUUCUCCCUCUUGUCGACGGCGCCGCCCUUUUCUUCGUCUUUUCUCGCCGUUUGACGUCGAGCUCGGGGAGAGAGUUGCUCCUCCUUGCUAUCGCUGCAAGUGCAGCCUCCUGUCGCCCCUUUCUCACAAAUCCGACGAUGAAUUCGUGCUACCCACCGUCACAAACCCCCAGGUCAAGUCUUCCCCGCCAUUUUUCCUCGAUGGAAGUUGGAGGUGUAAUCUCACCGGAGCAGUGCCUUUCCAACCGCGAUCCGGCAUCCUCCGACAAGAGUUGGUCGUGAUUUUAGUAUUUUCGACUCCCGUAGCUCAAGCUUAGUGUAGGCGUCUCCAUAUUCAAAUUCUGACACUAUUGGCGGCACCGGUUUUCGGAUCCGGUAUUUUUUAGAUGCACAGAGCUUAGAUUUUUAGGCUAGAUAAUCUACCAGCCUAGCUAGCUCCACUCGAGACAUAGGAGCAGACAGCGAAACUCAGCAGAACUGAUGAGACAAUAGUAGAACGUGCACCUGAUGGGUUUGCAUCAGGACUGUGCACACAGGUGGAAAUCAGAGUCAGGUAAUCUAGGAAUAUUCGGUGAUGUGCCCUAGUCGAGCACAACUCUCUAGACUUAUAGGAUUUGAUUUGCCGGAGAAAGGUCCCUAGUCGAGCGUUGCUCUCUAGGCGCCGGCUGUAUUGGUAUUUAAGUGACUAGACUAGACUUAAGGACCUUGGUCGAGCAUUGCUCUCUAGGCGCCAGUCUUAUUGGAAUAAGAGAGUCGAAAUGCUGUUAGAAUUGGGGUAUAAAGUUCUGCUGAAGUACUCGUCCUGUAUGUGUUAAAAAUUGCAAUUAUUCUAAAAUUACGAUAUGACAUGCAUUUAUUAUUUUGUGAUAUUCUAUACUAUUAAAUAUUUAUUUUAUA